This is a long non-coding RNA of Physeter macrocephalus (sperm whale), 6176 nucleotides long. RefSeq lists it as uncharacterized. Lineage: Eukaryota; Metazoa; Chordata; Mammalia; Artiodactyla; Physeteridae. The transcript is spliced from 3 exons. The record is from RefSeq and is a predicted model, not a curated record.
UGGGCUUUCUUUUUUUUAUGUCUUUUUAUUUUUCUAAUUAAAAAAAAAUUUUUGGCUGCGUUGGGUCUUCGUUGCUGCACGUGGGCUUUCUCUAGUUGUGGCGAUCAGGGGGCUACUCUUAGUUGUGGUGUGCGGGCUUCUCAUUACAGUGGCUUCUCUUGUUGCAGAGCACGGGCUCUAGGCACGCGGGCUUCAGUAGUUGCAGCACGCAGGCUCAGUAGUUGUGGCUUGCGGGCUCUAGAGCACAGGCUCAGUAUCUGUGGCACAUGGGCUUAGUUGCUCCACGGCAUGUGAGAUCUUCCCGGACCAGGGCUCAAACCUAUGUCCCCUGCAUUGGCAGGCGGAUUCUCAACCACUACGCCACCAGGGAAGCCCGGUCUUUCUUUUAGAUUGAAUAUUUGUAAUUCCAUCUCGUGCUAUUUUUGACCCUCUGGAUACUGAGAGUGUCCUUGAAGUAACCAGAUCUUGCUGUUACAGUGAGCAGACCCAGGAACCAACCUCAGCUGCAAGGUGGUGGUGUCCUGCCUCUUUUGUCACACGUGAUGCCAGCAGUGGGAAGAGAACUUUUUCAGUAGCAAAGGUGAUGAACGUGUGAGAUUUUCAAACCUGCAGACGUGACUUGAAUGGCUUCCCUUUGGGUAAUGGACACUGGCUAGAGACCUAGAAAGGGAUCGGCCACAGGGUGAACUACUGGAGAGAACCAGCAUGGUUUCCAGCACAUGGUGUCAAGCAAAUGGUGAGCAAAGAACUCGUGCUUAGAGAAGACUCCAUUGAUGUGAUCUUUGCACUCAGGCAGCUUGCAGCUAAUAUAUGGGGAUGCUUCUACUGUGCCGGGUUCUGCAGGGGAUGGGGACUCUGAACCAGUGAGACACAUUACCACGGCUUUCCGGCUUUCAGUCUGCACGGUGCCGGCAUCAGGCAUCCACAUCGCUGUUGUGAUGAAGACUUACCCUUCUCCAGUGCUUAUCACCCUGAAAGGAUCGCAGCUUGGCAAAGCAGACGCAGAAGGACACACGCUCCCUGCUUCAGGCUCCGGUUCCCCAUCCCUCCAUCCCCCCCCUAGUCACAGGGGGUGGAGGAAGCGUCUGUGGGCUCAAUACAGUGGACCAAGUGGUUGGUCUUCAUAAAGGCCCCGCCCACAGACACCUGGAGCUAACAGACACUCACAGGCAUGAGGUUCCAGCCAAAAGGGACAGAAAAAUUCACAGACUCUCCAUGUGGCUUCUGGAUGGAAUAGAAGACUCCGAAAUGGACUUAGAACUCACAGCGGGAGCAGCAAGUCAGGGGCCAUAUGCUCAGGCCACAGAGUUGCCUGGGACUGCAAAGAUCAGCCUCCCAGAGGCUGAAACUGGAAAUCUUUAGGUUUUGAUUUAAAAGUUUCCAUUGAUGGGGUACCUACUGAGUGCCAGGCACUGUGCUAGCAGCUUUGCGUCUAUUGUAUCUAAUCUUUCCAGCCACCCUACAAAGUAGGUGUUAUUAUCCUCAUUUUAGAAGUGAGGAAGCAGAGGCGAAGGCUACGAUUUCCCUUUUCAUGGUUUUCGGUCUUUACUAAGUUAGUACAGCAUGAUCAGAGGAGUCCUAGUUUUACAAGGUAUCAGAACUGGAAGGGAUGGUAGAGGUCAUGUCUACCAUCUGAGGAUAAUGAUGAAAAAAGAUCCAAAGUGAGAAAAGUAAAUUAUUUUGCUCAAGGACACACAGCAGAGCUGGCACCUCCUCCUAGGCCUCUGGGCUUGCCGGGUGGACCUGUCUUUUCUUCUCCGUGUAACAGCAGGGGAACACAGAGAUGUCAUUGCUGUCUGGGAGGAAUGGAACAAAUGUCAAGGCCUGUCUGCCUCUAAGCAGUGAUCACCACAGACAUGGCCGUUUUCAAACCGAUUCUCACUUGAUCUGCUUCACAUUCCUUAAAAAGGAGGGAAGGGGAAGCUUUGACGUUUUGGAAGAUGAAGCAACUUGCAGAUGAUGAAAAGGGACAUCUGCGUCUAUCAAAUGUUUUAAGCCCCUCAGGAGAAAGGUGCAGGAGGAGCGUGAACUGUUUUGGUAUUUUCUUAUUUCCAUCAUCUUGUGAUCUUAGGUGUCACACACUGGGAAAUCUUCCUUUCAAGACAGUAAUGAGUUGCUUUUUUCACUCCUUGGUUUUCUCCAAAGUGCUUGGGGUUGCAGUGGAAAGCUCUUCUAGAAAUGUCCCUGUUUCAUCUCACCACGUCUCUAGGGAGUGUAUAGUCUACAUUCACAGCCAUAACAUAAACCCCAGUCUCUUUGAGCCACACACAGGAUUUGCCCAGAUGCGGGCAUCUGGCAACUCAGAAAUGGUUCUGUGUGCUGGGGUCUGGCUGCAGCACCAUGUGCAGGAUGGUUAAGAAGCAUUAGGGCUGAAAGGGAUCUUGGAGGCUAUUUCAAACUCUUAUUUUCUGAAUCACAUGGUACCUGUUUUUCAUUAAACAGUGGCUUUCAGAAAUUCUCAGGGAUUGAACCUGUUAGUAUAGUAACGGUCAGGGUCAUUUGCAAAGGCACAGAAUAAGCAGUUUAGAUGCUCGGUUCUACUUUUCACUUGGAAUGUUCUUUAUGAGCCAGUUUUAUUUAUCUGUUAAAUCAAUACAAUACUGGAUGAACACAUGUUUUUAAAUGGAAUGAAAUAUAAAAUCCACACAAGUCUUAGUCAUGGUCCCUUCACUUCAGUCACUGGCUGACUUGCUGGUCCCUGAAAUUACGUCAUGACAAUGCCCACUAGAAAUAAGACUAAUAAUUUCUUCAAUUUGCUAUCAGUGCUUUACACUCUUAUCACAGAGGACUGGAAGCUUUGAAGUUAAACUUUCAGAUCUACUUUCCCGCUUAACCUUCAAAAGCACCCUGCAAAGUAGAUGGGAAAGGAAUCUUUAUCCCCCAUUUUGCAGAUGAGCCAACUGAGGCACAGCCAGGUGAAAUAAUCAGACCAAGCUCACGCAGUGUGUUAGACACAGGAAUAAUGGGUCUCCUGAAUUCUGAUCAAGAAUUCUUUCUUCUGUAUUAUAUAGGGUAAGUGCUUAACGCUCCCAGAUUUGGAGGAUAUGUUUGGCCACUAAAGCUUUCUCCCAAGAUAGGAAAAACACCUGGCUGCUGCUUGCCCCACCACGGUAAUGACCCCAUACCUCAUGUGCACUCAAGCUUCCCCGCCUUGAUUCACUCUGGUCCCUCUGAUGGGAAUGCCCUCUCCUCCCCUUCUCCAAAUGACCGGCUCCUCCUAAUUCAGUUUCAGGCCAACUCAAAUCAUACCUCCUCUCCACGCGUUCCCUGGUUAAGUUCCUUUUCUAUGUCUUUGCAUGCCUUUGCUACAGCACGACAAUGGGCCCUAAGCAGUAGCCAGGCAUUUCUUAUGGAGUCACAGAAGGAAGAGAAGCCUGUGACCAACUAGAAGGCCAGCUUGUUGAGAUCUGGAAGCAGGUCUUUGUUUUUGUGUUUUCAUCGCUUAACACAGUGCCUGGAAUAUAGUAGAUAUUUGACCUAAGGUUGUCCAGCAGCUGAAAAAUAGGCUGCUCCUAAAAAGAAACAAGGUGACAGGCAAGGGGUGAUGUAGUAAAAAUGGAAACCAGGAUCUCAGCCCUCAGAUUUCAAGGUGGAUUUCUCGGGGCUAUGGAUAAGUUCCUGCAGUGCUGUGCAUCUGGGACGGUUAUGAACACUUUGGAGGCUGAGGGACUUGGAACCUCUUGUGAGAUGGAUCUACCAGCAGUUCCUGUUCUGAGUGAGUGUGAGCCCACUAAUGCCUUGAGGGCUGAAUGCUGGUGUGCCAUGUACUGUUGCCUUAGACCAGAUUUUUCCUUCUAAGUGUCAAAAACAACUUUAGAUGGAGAAAAUGAACUGAGUGGGGUGAAAAAAACCUACGAGUCCCAGAAUAACCUCCAGCUUGGUAAUGAUUUAUCCUAUUUCAUUGUUAAUUUUGCAAUUAAGCAAGAGUACUUUAUAUGCCUGAAUAACCCAUGGACUUUAUCUUAAUCAAAUUAAUGUGUCUGUAACAGAAGACUGAUUCAGUGUUCAACUAUUAGGAUAACAAAUGAUGCAAAGCCCAAGUUUUCUCUCUCCUUUCUCUCUCCUCCCCCCACAACAGCCGAAAGGUCAACACUAAAGGUCAACUGCCUGAAAGCCUGUUGUUUUGAUGACUGAUGUGAGAUUCUAUUGGUUAAAAAUGUGAGAAAACUGGCUACCUCCCCUCCCCCCCACUUCAAACCAACUGUAUGUAUGUGUGACAGUGUGUGUGUAAGUUUGGAUGAAAAAAAAAUUGUGGUUAAUUCUUCUUGUUGUGUACUUCCUGCCACUGACAUUUGUUGCUGCUGCUGUGUAAUGACGUUGAGGUUGGGUAGGAAAAUCAGAUGCAAAUGACCUAUUUACUUGUUCCCUAGUUAUGACUACCCUUCUCAACUCCUGUUCUUGGAAAACCUGGAAAGCAGAGAAAGGGGGUCAGGAAAGCCAGCUGAACAUGGCCUUGCCCUGAAGCAACCCCUAGAACUUUAGGUCAUCCUAGUUGAUAAGAAAUUUGAAAAAAAUAUGAUUCUGUUUAAUAAAAUGGUAUAUAUUUAAAAAAAUUAUAAGUUACGAAUAAUGGCUUUUUAAUAAAGACUUUUGUGGUUUAGGCCAAGGACCAGGAUUUAUGUCUCCCCGGGCUCAAUUCAUCAGCUUUUACAGGGACUUCAGCAAUAUUUUACCAUCCUCAUCCACUCCAUUUUCCACAAUUAGUGGGGUAAUUUAAAAAUAUGUUAAUCAGAUCACGUCUCUUCCCCGUCUCAAAUCUUUCAAUGGGUUUUCAUUCCACUACUUAGAAUAAAGUUCAAAGUUCUUGCCAUAGCUUAGAAGGCCCUACAUAAUAUGCCCCCUGCCGGGGAAAGUGGUAUGGGCGGGGGGAUGAAUUGGGAGACUGGGACUGACAUAUAUACACUAAUAUGUAAAAAAUAGAUAACUAAUAAGAACCUGCUGUAUAGUACAGGGAACUCCACUUUGCUAUACAAUAGAAACUAAUACAACAUUGUAAAACAACUAUACCCCAAUAAAAAAAAAUAUGCCCCCUGCCUUGCUCUCUGGCCUUUUCUUUUUCCCUGCCCCCCUUGAGACACUGGCUGCUUGCUUUCCAGCCUAAGGGCCUUUGCACAGGCUGUUCCUGCUGCCUGCUUGUCCCUCCGCUCCUGUCCUGGCUCACAGCACAAUGCCACCUCUUUAGAGAGGACUUCCCUCACGUUUCCCUAUGCAUUCCCCUCUCAUCACUGUAUCAUAACUUGUAAUUUUAUAUUUAUUUCUGUGCUGAAUUUUAACGUUAUUAUCUGUUUUCUCACUAGUCUAUAGGCUUUAUAUCUGCUUUGUUUGCCACUGUGUCCAGUUCUGGGCCUAUCGUAGGAGCUUAAUUAAUAUUUAUUGAAAGAAAGAAUGGGCAAACCAUUGACUUUCAUAAUACUUAAAAUUCCUUAGCCAUAAAAUGGGAAUAGUCAUCUUUAUUCUGUGGCUAGCUAUGGAAUUCAUUUUGAUAUUUGUUUUGCACUGAACUUUGAGAUGUUAGGAUAUUGGUUGGACGUGGAAGGAAUGUGAGACUGAGAGUUUUGUUUUUUGUUUUUCCUUCUCUGUUCAAAGUUCACUGGCUCAUGUGGCAGGGAUUAGACACAACCCCUAUUCUUCAUCCCGAGCCUGGCAAGGGUAGCCACUCCAUGACUGGAUCUCCUUUCCUUCGGCCCCUUUGGUUAGUGUCGCUGCCUUUAAUGAGCCAGGUAAAUCAUGGGGAACGUGUAAGCCAACUGUUCAAGACUUGCUCCUCACCGCUCCCUCAUUCUUUAGGAGCUUCUCAUUGACUAAAUAGCCCUGGAGAUUUGAAAAGAGGUGCACAAAAAAUGUGGGAGAAGAUAUUAAGUACCGAAUGCCACUGUUCCCCCCACCGUCUCUUCUCAAAAGGCUUCAAAUCCAGUCCGUCUAAUUUCUGCUCGGCCUCCCUUCUCUUCGUCCCUUUCCAGCCCUGGGAUGCCAGAGCCGAGAGUUCCAGGUGUGUUCCUGCAGAACCCAUGGCUCUGCUUUCUUUUUAGCCCUGAAAUUUUUUCCAAGGUGGAUACAGAAACCUGAAAGAGGUUGAGAAUAAAAAGAGUCAAAAGGAGCUACAUGUCUUCUGGAAAGCCAGUGAAUGUCUCUGAACUUUGAUUUAUCUAUAAAAUGGGAGUUAAAAAUACCAACCU